AGGGCACCACCAGGAGUGGAGCCUGCGGCUUAAUUUGACUCAACACGGGAAAACUCACCCGGCCCGGACACUGGAAGGAUUGACAGAUUGAGAGCUCUUUCUUGAUUCAGUGGGUGGUGGUGCAUGGCCGUUCUUAGUUGGUGGAGUGAUUUGUCUGGUUAAUUCCGAUAACGAACGAGACUCUAGCCUACUAAAUAGAUCGUCGGCUUACAAACGCCGGCGAGACUUCUUAGAGGGACAGGCGGUGAUUCAACCGCACGAAACAGAGCAAUAACAGGUCUGUGAUGCCCUUAGAUGUCCGGGGCCGCACGCGCGCUACACUGAAGUGAUCAGCGUGCUUUUUCAACCUACUCUGUCAAGAGUGGGGAACCCAAUGAACCUUCUUCGUGAUUGGGAUAGGGGAUUGUAAUUAUUCCCCUUGAGCGAGGAAUUCCCAGUAAGCGCGAGUCAUAAGCUCGCGUCGAUUACGUCCCUGCCCUUUGUACACACCGCCCGUCGCUACUACCGAUUGAAUGUAUU
RNAcentral lists this ribosomal RNA (519 nucleotides) under uncultured eukaryote. RNAcentral's name for it is "SSU rRNA". It matches the Rfam family "Eukaryotic small subunit ribosomal RNA", at positions 1161 to 1699 of the family's 1831-position model. The record is from RNAcentral.